ACGGUGAAUGACCACACGCAAAGUUGCACGUUGUAAAUAUACUAAGCCACCACGGACAAUGCUCGUGGUCAAUAUUGUUAGUUCUACAGCGCAUUUUUGUUAUCAACCACGGACAUAAUGUGUGGUAUAAUCAUACACAUAAUGAAAAAUAUUUAGAAAAGGCGAGACACCGAAUUUUUGGGAAAUUUCAAACAUCUUUGAGAUUUGAAAAUUUCACAAACUCUUUAAAUCUCCAGUCGCUCCUUUUUAUUUCUAAUCAAAAUCCUAUGGCACCAGGGAUCCGAUCCAAAUUAAAUUGAAUCGCCAAAUGGGAAAAAAAAAGGCUCACAAGAUAGAAAAUGGGGCAAGAACAGAAUCUCAUCACUAAAUGGGAAGGCUCUAUUGACUGGAGAAGCCGACCUGCAAUCAGAGGUCGCCAUGGCGGCAUGCUUGCCUCCUCCUUUGUGCUAGGUAUGUGUCUUCCUUGUGCUGCAAUCAAGGAUCACCAUGGCGAUUAAUUCUUACUUCAGUAGAGUUCGAAAAGGAAUUAAACAUUAUAAAGUAUGGAAGCAGUUUGGGUUGCAAAAUACGUGAGUUCAGGAAAAGAGACAUUAUUGUGACGAGGAAAACGUGGAGCAGUUAUGUAUUUGGAGAUAAAGGCAGAGAGAAAAGGGGGAGAAGAAGGGAGACGUGCGGUUUCCCUCCUUUUACAUUUCAUUUAUUUUAUUUUGUGUUUUACAUAUUUAUUCUUAAUCAUAAUCUAUUUGAAUUGAAGUGAAGUGAUUCUUACCACAAUUUUCUGCAAUUUUGGUUGACAAAGAACCUUAUGUUAAUAAAUAGUAUAAAUUUUCCUAAUUAUCAUAUUGAUUUCCUUUUCGGUUUUGGUUAUUCUGUAAUUUAUUAUAUUGUAAUAAAUAUGAAAU
Molecule: non-coding RNA, 902 nt
Organism: Malus domestica (apple)
Lineage: Eukaryota; Viridiplantae; Streptophyta; Magnoliopsida; Rosales; Rosaceae
Source: RefSeq, a predicted model, not a curated record